CCUACGGGAGGCUGCAGUGGGGAAUAUUGCACAAUGGGGGAAACCCUGAUGCCGCGACGCCGCGUGAGUGAAGAAGUAAUUCGUUAUGUAAAGCUCUAUCAGCAGGGACGAAAAUGACGGUACCUGAGUAAGACGCCCCGGCUAACUACGUGCCAGCAGCCGCGGUAAUACGGAGGAUGCGGGCGUUAUCCGGAUUCAUUGGGUUUAAAGGGUGCGCAGGCGGGCCUUGAAGCCGGCGGUGAAAUCGCGGGGCUCAACCCCGCCGAGCCGUCGGAACUGGGGGCCUUGAGUGCGGCGGAGGCAUGCGGAAUGCGCGGUGUAGCGGUGAAAUGCAUAGAUAUCGCGCAGAACCCCGAUUGCGAAGGCAGCGUGCCGUGCCGCCACUGACGCUGAGGCACGAAAGCGCGGGGAUCGAACAGGAUUAGAUACCCCAGUAGUC
This 439-nucleotide ribosomal RNA is filed under the name uncultured bacterium. Its description in RNAcentral is "partial 16S ribosomal RNA". It matches the Rfam family "Bacterial small subunit ribosomal RNA", at positions 338 to 795 of the family's 1533-position model. The record is from RNAcentral.